UUAAUUUGAAGAAGGGGAAGACCAUUCCAAGCCCAACACUCAGACCAAAACCAAGCUCAAUUAGCGUAAUCCCUAAAAUUCUACACCCAUCCUUUUUUCUGCUCAAACAGUCGCCCAUCCUCUUCCUUCCUUCUUUGAGCAAAAUUCAAAACUCCUCCAUCUCCAAGUCAAAAUUUAUUUCACCAUUUUCAGCAAAAGUCUUCAUUCUCUCUCUUGCAUAUUCAAUGAAAAGCCGAAAAUUUUGCCAUCGAAAUUGACCAAAUUGCUGCAAGAGGACGAUUUUGUUGAUCUUCUUUCUGUCACAUUUUGGGCGGAUCUUGAACGGGCAUUUUAAAUUUCAAACGGGUCUUUCAAUUCUCGCUUCCAAAAUCCUAGUUUUUCACCUAUAAAUACAUCCUAAAGUCUCAGCCAAGGGACAUUCAGAAAAGGUCGAAAAAACCAUAUUUAUACUUCUAAUUUUGUUGUACUCUAUCUCUCUUUCAAGCUUCAAUUCGAAAUCCAAAAGAGUAGAUCUGAAACCUCAAAGUCCUUCCUUCACUGCCCCCCACAAGGUCAGUAAUUUUCUUAUUUUGGUUUAUUUUGAUUCUGAAAUUUAGAACGUAUUCAUGUUUUUAUACAUGUUGUAAAAUAGUUAUUAAUUUUCUUCCAUUUCUUAUUUUAGAUGUCAUAAAAUAAUUCUCAACAUACCUUUGUUUUUUUUCCGCUACUGUUCGGGUUCAAAUCAUCAUUCUCUUUAUAUUAGUUUAGUAAGAAAUCAUGUGCUAGGCUCUUUCUCUUAUUUUUUGUAUGAAAUACGUAUUUACUGGGUAUGUGAUAGAUUGAAGCUCUGCUGGAAAGUGUUUAACAUGUUGACUUGCCUAACUUUACCACUAGUUCACUUCUUUUUAUCGUCUAUAGGAAAAGUUAAUGUGUGUCAAUUGUUAUUUGUUCAUGUAAGUCCAGAAAUUAGCGAUAUUAGUAUUUGAGUUCAUGACUUAGGACCUUUUCAUAUCUUGGAUAUUACAAACUCAAGUAUGUAAUUUUGGGUUGGGUUUUGAAUAUUAACUCAUGCCAAAAGAUCGAGUUCUAUUCUGUUAAAGUGAUAUGCUCGAACGGGUUGACUGCUCAUGCAUUUAAACUACAAAUUUAGUCUGCCUCAUAAAGAGUUGUAAUAGAUAUAUUUGCAAAAGUAAGAAAAUAUUUCUGUAAGUUUCUGCUGUCACCUUAUGUUCUUUUAAUUUAAAGUGCAAAUAGAUUGUUUGUAAGUAUUUCUCAUCCGCACUGCUCGAAUCAGUAAUGGCAGCGGGCUUCUCAUUUAGCAGAGCCAAGUCAAGAUCCAUCACACCUAAGUGGAACUGGACUUGUUCACGCCAUUCAGAGAAGUUCAAUCCGUUGAAUACAGUAACAGACAAAGCAAGCGAAUGAAAAGGAAUAGCUGCAAAAUAGAUAAUACAUGCUCACAAAUCAAUAUGGAUUCAAUAAAACAGUUAAAGCAUAUCACAAUUCUCUUUUGGGUAAAUACUACGACACACUAUCAUAAUUUAAGUGCCAUUUAGUCUUUAAUAGGUAAUUAAAUAUUUUUAACCAAAUAUAUAUGCCAUCUUUGGACAAACAAUAUAGAUUUGACUAAAGAAUAUUAAUUUUACCUCAUCAUAUUCACUAUUCAUAGAAUAAUUGAUUCACCUUUGAGUAAAUCUUUAAGUUCUAGCAAUCGUGAAAAUUAAUUUAUUCACUAAUUUUUAAUUAUUGGUAUUUCAUUAAUUUCAUGGAUAAAUUAUAAUUUUAUGUAUGCAUAUUUUUCAUGAACAUAUUAGUUUGGCCACUUUGAUGACUAACAAACUAUAUAAAUAUAAAUGCACACAUAAAAUAAAUAUCUGAAGAUUUUAUGCAUGUGAAUACUUUAAACAAUCUAGUUUGAUCAAUUUGGUGACUAACAAACUAUAUAAUUUUAAGCACAUAUAUAAAUAAUCAAUGGCCCUAAUUUUAAAAUAGUAGCCUAAAGAAACAAACAUAAUUUCAUGACCACAAUUAUAAAAUAGGGACAUAAUGGGAUAACUUAGUACAACAUAAUCCCUAUACGGCACUGCAAAUUCAUUUCGUGCGGUGCCGCUUUUUCAAUCAUCAAACUAGUAUGUAGAUUCUUCAUUAUUUAAUAUUACUGCUGUUUAUUCCAAUAAAUAUUUAUAUCAUGAUAUACUAUUCUGACACAUAUAAUCAUUGUGGUUGAAUACAGGAAAAUAGAAUUGUAUUCAUAAAUUGCAGACAGAAGCACAUAUUCAUAAUUAUCAACCCACAAAGCUAUAUUACUCUUUGUAUUUAACCAUUCAAUAUGUACAUAAAUUAAUGGUUCAUCUUGGUAUUAGAGGAUGAGAGGCAGAACCCAUUAAACUAAAGAUUCCCUAAAUUUUUUUUUGAUUACAAGGUCACGGUCAGAGACCUCAUUAACUCUUAAAACAUACAGAGAAGGAAAAUACUUUUACUACAUUCAUUCGGUCAGAUUUUUUUCUUUCCGUAUGUUUUCAAAUUAAUCUCUUCAAUCGAAGAUUAUCAGCAAAUAUCCAUGUUCAUGAUACCACAUGUAAGUAUAAACUUUAAUUCACACCAGGAUCUUGAACAUGAUAAUCUUACACAAAAUCGUUACAGAAAACAUACUUGAAGCGGAAUCCAUUAUCUUGAAGCGGAAGCGUNNNNNNNNNNNNNNNNNNNNNNNNNUCAUUGUGGUUGAACACAGGAAAAUAGAAUUGUAUUCAUAAAUUGCAGACAGAAGCACAUAUUCAUAAUUAUCAACCCACAAAGCUAUAUUACUCUUUGUAUUUAACCAUUCAAUAUGUACAUAAAUUAAUGGUUCAUCUUGGUAUUAGAGGAUGAGAGGCAGAACUCAUUAAACUAAAGAUUCCCUCAAAUUUUUUUGAUUACAAGGUCACGGUCUGAGACCUCAUUAACUCUUAAAACAUACAGAAGGAAAAUACUUUUACUACAUUCAUUCGGUCAGAUUUUUUUUUCCAUAUGUUUUCAAAUUAAUCUCUUCAAUCGAAGAUUAUCAGUUCAAAUAUCCAUGUUCAUGAUACCAUAUGUAAGUAUAAACUUUAAUUCACACCAGAAUCUUGAACAUGAUAAUCUUAAGCAAAAUCGUUACAGAAAACAUACAUGAUGCGGAAUCCAUUAUCUUGAAGCGGAAGCGUUAAUCGGUAAUUGGUUUCUCGCCCCUUGCCCUAACUUUACGUUACCACCGACUUUAGUGAUGGAAGAGAGAAUAAAAAUACGGUAACCCUAAUGGGUGGGGAGAUGACCAAUUUAUAGAGGUUCUCAUUUAAUCUGGUACGUCCAUUAAAUAACCAAUCGAACGGAUGAGAUUUGAUAAUUAAUCUAAUAUUAAUUAUGGGCAUUAACCUAUUGGGCCACAUACACCUAGUAAAAUAACUUACAUUUCCCUCCAAUAAAACAUUAUAGGGGAAUUUUAAAUAUCCAUUUUUUAAAGAAGACACUUGUGUUUUUAAAUAUCAGUUUUGAACUUUAAACUUCAGACCAGGCGGCCACUUCUGAAUUUCAAACUGCUGGACUAAUUGUGAAAAGGUGGUCAACUUCUAAAUACAACACCAGAAACGGGGCCACCUGGUGUAAAUGAAGCUCAAGAAUCAAGAUAGUGUUUAUAAACUCACUAGUGCGAUGAUUAUAACUUCUUCUAAGUACGCUAAAUACAAAAAAGUAAAAAUGACAAAUAUAUAAGAUAAGAUAUACAUAUGAAUUAUUUUAAAAGAGAAGAUACAAGGAAAAAAUACAUAUGAAAAAUAAAUUGAAAUCGAACAUCCCAUACUUUUUUACUCCAUAGUGAUGUGUUCUCUCGUGUUCUCAAUUGGAAAAGAGAAAUUGUGGUUUAUAGUUUUUGAACAUUUUCAGAGUCUAUCUCAAGUUUACUAUUUCCCUUUAAUUCAUGUUUCUAAUAUUUUUAGUGAAAAUAUGUAUAAGAUUUAGGUUAUAUUUAUUGCACGAAAUAACAAAAGGAACAUUAAAAGCAUUAAAAAAUCGUCUAUAACUCAUCUUUGAAAACUUAGUUACAGAUUUAAUUAAUUAAUAAAAGUGAAAUAUAUUGGCUUUCGUUGAACUCAAUUUGUGUUUAUGUGCAUACACACAUAUAUAUAAGGAAAAUCUCUCAUCACUUCACACAACAUUACCUGCAUGCAGUGUACACCAAGCACUACCAAAAGAAAAUGUUGUUUCUUCCUCUUUUAAUAAUAUAUUUGUAAGCUGUUUUUGCUCGAGGAAUUCUUUAAUCAACUCAAGCACUCUCCACAACUUUGUCAAGUAGUUUACAACUGGAUAAUCCGAAAGUACAAAUGUCCUUUCUUUUGACAUUUUCCAUUUCAUUUAGAAAAAUUAUGUCUUACAUGUCCAAUGGUUUAAUAAAUAGGCUCAGUUAUCCAAUAAAGGGAGAAAGUGAUAAACGAUAAAGACACUACAAGAUAGCUAUUAAAAGAGGGAAUCGUUGAUGACCUGGGGAAAGAGUAGCAGACCUGUAAACUCAGUCAGAGACAAUUAUGAAACAAAAACACAUUAGAGAAUACGAAUUGCUAAUUUCGGAGGAACCAUUUGAAUAUGACUAGAUCUAGGUGUGAACCAGGAGCUUGCCAUUGUGGACAGAGAAUGGAUAUGCCAAUUACUACUUUUCUGUGGAUGAUUCAAAAGCCAGCAUGUAAAUAAGCAUGGUUGGUAGCAGAGAAAGAGUACAUUCCAAUACUUCUAAAAACAACACCAAUAAGGACAAUAACCACAUAUAUAAUGUCGUUAUCAUAAUUUAUAGAUACCUUAGUUGCUGAGUAUGUCGUUAUUGAGCUUUGAAACUUAAAAAUAAAUAAAUUUAAGAACGU
This 4844-nucleotide long non-coding RNA is filed under the name Nicotiana tabacum (common tobacco). RNAcentral describes it as "long non-coding RNA (NTAB_LNC019330)". Lineage: Eukaryota; Viridiplantae; Streptophyta; Magnoliopsida; Solanales; Solanaceae. The record is from RNAcentral.